AAGAAUAAAGUCAACCUUUUUUGAGACUGCCCUUUAUUUGUUCUCUACUGUCUUCUACAGCCCUGAGUCUUCACUUGCUCUUUGCUCAUGGUGCAGCGUCAGCCAGGAAUUCACUAGACAAGUCAGCAGAGUCACCAGAUGCCAGACAUGCAGUAAGGAGCAGAGGUUUGAGUAAGACUGCAUCUCUGCUCUUGGGAAGGCAUGGGAGAAAUACAUCAACAUGCGGUGGCACAGCCCGGUUCACAUCCCACAACAAAAUGGAAAGCCCUCUGCCGUCUUUUAUACUCAUUCUAAAACCUAAGUCCUACUACUCUUCCGUGUGGCUUCUCCAGCCUUUCAGCCCCUGUGGUGUUUACUCACUGACUGAACGACCUCCGCAGCCUCUGGACUUCUGUAGUGUCCAGUCACACUGUACACAGCCUAAGACAGUGUCUGGAAGACACUGUGCUCACUCAGCACUUGGAAUGAUUCUCAGAUGAAGAAACUGGGGCUGAGAGAAGCUACUUUACUUCACAGCCUCUAAGGAUCUAGUGAUAUAUGGAUGAAGAAAGGACACACACAAAGCCUUACCAGACACAUGGCUGUAAGAUCUGAAAAUGUUUUGGUUUAAGAAUAAAAAUGGCUAAUAAUCUAUAUUCAUAUAAACAUAUUUAAUGUGAACACAAAAAGUCUGGGAUACAUUUCCUCUGAUGUGUCUGAUUUAUAUUACUAAGAGCUCAAAUUUGGAUGAGAAGGCAAAACGACAAAUGACAGACAAUGAAGCAGUCUACAGUGUGGUGUGAUGGGGAUGGUUUGGGUCUCUACUGCUAUCUGCUCUCCUUUCGUCUGUAAAAUGAGGAUACUAACAGAGGCGGGCUUAUUGUGAGCAUUAAACAGGUUAAUAAUUGCAUAUAAAAUUCUGUGCCUAGUACAGGCAGUGAACAAUAAAUGUUAGCAAUUAUUCC
Long non-coding RNA from Macaca mulatta (Rhesus monkey), 944 nucleotides. RefSeq lists it as uncharacterized. The record is from RefSeq and is a predicted model, not a curated record. NCBI's taxonomy places the organism in Eukaryota, Metazoa, Chordata, Mammalia, Primates, Cercopithecidae.